RNAcentral lists this ribosomal RNA (425 nucleotides) under uncultured rumen bacterium. RNAcentral describes it as "bacterial SSU rRNA". It matches the Rfam family "Bacterial small subunit ribosomal RNA", at positions 354 to 776 of the family's 1533-position model. The record is from RNAcentral.
GUGAGGAAUAUUGGACAAUGGCCGGAAGGCUGAUCCAGCCAUGCCGCGUGCGGGAAGACGGCCCUAUGGGUUGUAAACCGCUUUUGCGAGGGAGCAAUAAGGUCCACGUGUGGGCCGAUGAGAGUACCUCGCGAAUAAGCAUCGGCUAACUCCGUGCCAGCAGCCGCGGUAAUACGGAGGAUGCAAGCGUUAUCCGGAUUUAUUGGGUUUAAAGGGUGCGCAGGCGGCUUGCUAAGCGGGAGGUGAAAUGCCGGCGCUCAACGUCGGAAGUGCCUCCCGAACUGGUGGGCUGGAAUGACUCUGCCGUGGGAGGAAUGUGUAGUGUAGCGGUGAAAUGCUUAGAGAUUACACAGAACACCGAUUGCGAAGGCAUCUCACGAAGGGUUGAUUGACGCUGAGGCACGAAAGCGUGGGGAUCAAACAGG